RNAcentral lists this long non-coding RNA (718 nucleotides) under Carica papaya (papaya). RNAcentral's name for it is "long non-coding RNA (CPAP_LNC014261)". Lineage: Eukaryota; Viridiplantae; Streptophyta; Magnoliopsida; Brassicales; Caricaceae. The record is from RNAcentral.
CAUCUCUGAACCAACAAGGCGAAAUUGAUGAUAUGAUAAAUAUUUGAUCUAUUUCUUAAGACUAUACUUAAGAGUGGUCAUUUGAAAAUUUUAGAAACUCAAUAUGUACCUAUAAGAACUAGAACCAAGCGUAGGCACUCAUAACAAAACUAAUAAAUGAAUCUUUUACUAAAGGAACUCCUAAUGAUUCAUAGCUAGUAAUGUACAGUCUAGAGGACUUUAGGAAAGCGCUGAUCAAGUAUUGAGGUAUAUUAGAAUCAUUCAACCUUUAAUAGAUUUAGGGGAACAUUACGAUUUAGCUAAAAGAUAAUUCAUGUAGAUGUUAAGUCAUCGAAUAUGGAAGAGGAAAAAAUCUUGAAAACUCUAAUAUAGCAAGUCCAUAAAAAAUAUUUGAAAGUCAGAAAACCACCACACCCGUUAAAUUUUAAUAUUCACUAAUCCUUACGGGAUUAAAGCAGGAAAUGAAACACAAAGGUUAAACCAUCAUGCCGAUAAAUUUUCAUAUUUAAGUACGACCAAUCCUGUAGCACCCGGAAAGGAGGAAAAAAAAAAAAAAAAAAAAAAAAAAAAAAAAAAAAAGGGGGGGGGGGGCCACGUCAGCAGCCACGUCAGCAGGCCCGGUCAGCAGUCCCGGCCAACCGGGGCCUGCCACGUGGCAAGAUCGCGUCACUCCAAAAGGAGCCACGUUGGCGAUCCGCGUGGGUGCGAUCCGACGGCC